CACAUACCCCUUGCUUUGGGAAACUGCUAGGCACUUAGAUUCAAUCCAGCUAAAAAGUUCGUAAGAUUCCUCUGUUUGAUGUUUUUCCACCUUCUGGCAUUGUCAAAGACUGCUCUUGGCUUCUCUAUGAUACCAAAUGCUGUCAGACCACAGCCGAAUGAUUCUUACUGCCUUAGGAAACAAGCAUGAAUCAUCUUGGUGUGCCAGGUAGCUGAAUGGAUCAAGCUUUAAAACAUUUGAGCUGUUCUGGGACUCCAGGCCUUCUAAAACACAUUAAAAAACAAUUUAAUGUAAUUUGAAGGUAAUUUUAUGGACAGGUAAGGAUUGUUAUUAUAAUUAUUAUUGUAAAUGUUUCUAAGUGGCUUUGAGCAGAGAAUGUGCCCACAGGAGUCACCCUGUGACUGUUAAUUUUGACAAUGUCCCAGUGAAAGCAUUGGCUGAGGAUUCCUGCCUUGCUCUGGCUGCCUACAGAAGUCCUGAAGACACCUGGACCUGCCCUCCUUAUGAUGCUCUACUCUCAGACAUACCAUGAAACACUGGGAAGCAUAUUUGGAGUCAGCUCUUCUCCAAAUAAGGGACUCUGAUGGAGCAGCUCACCACUGACAGCUGCUGGUGAACAAGGGAGCUGCCCGGAGACCUCCCCAAACUGCAGACAAGCUUUGACAGAGAGAGCGUGAACUGGCAGAAGACAAGCAGAAGAACAGACUAAACAGACCAGGUAGCUGGGAGCAGCACUUGACUUCUUGUUGUGCAGACACAAGCUCAGGAUUUCCAGUCAGUAUCUUCACCUAAGUACCUCUACUUUUGCUGCAGUGAGAAAUGCGGUUCUCCACUUUGUUUACCAGCUUCUGAUUAGGUUUACGUAGGGCAGUUCUUACGCUGUCCCUGGCCUGCUGUGGAGAAUAACCCCUAUGCUUUGUCAUCCACUUCUCCCAAACCCCACACUCUCAAAUUUGUUAGGUACUGGGAGAAGGGUGGCAGAAUUUCUUUCUAAUCCCCCUUUAACGUGAGCAGUGAAAUGAUAAACCCAAAUGAAGAAAAUUCAAAGGAGAUAAAAGCUUUAAUAGCAUCAGAAAUAGCAUGUUUAUUAUCUGAGGGGUGUGUAUGGGAAGUUCCACAGCAAGAAUUCCUGAGUAUUACCUGUUUAAAUACAUUUAAAUAUAUUUAAAGCCUGCCUCUCAAAGAGCCACUGAAUGACAGGCACUUCGCUAGGUGCCUAUGUCCAUGACCACCUUAAAAAAAAACACUCGUCCAAGUUGCUUGUGACACUGACUAUUUCUGAGAGAAGCAAAGAUUCAUUUUAGUGCAUCUGAACUUACUAAUCUGACUUGACCCGAGCCGAGGACACCACACCUCUCUGCCUGCACGAUCUCCCAAGGCCAUUAGUAAACUAGUUUGAAAUAUAAUGGGAAGGAGGUACAGAGCCAAGGAAAUGUUUAACCUGAUUACGCUCAUCAGUAGCACAAAUCUAUUCACAUGGAAGCAUCCCAAGUGCCAGUGAUGUGCUAUUUUUUUUAAGGCUGUCCUGCCUGUGAGUUGUUAAAUGGUGUGAGUUAUUUAUAAGGAUUUGUAAUAAAUCCCACGGGCAGUGACAGGCACUUAACUUUUUAAUAACUUGCAAAAGUGUUUGUGAAUGGGGACUGUUAACGGAUCCGUAGCUUCUCAGUGUGUGUCCCCUUUGGUUUAAUAGCUUACAGAUAUAAAAGUACCUUGGAUUUUUCCUUCCAGCAGAAUUCAGGGUUACCCAUGAGACGUAUUUCCAGGGCUAGCUGGCACGUUGCAAUUCUGCAGGCAAGAAAAGAACGGCAAGGGUGAUGCAGAAGAGCCACGAGCAACCUAUGACGGAUGCAGUUUCCCCACCCGUCCCUUAACCAAGGCAGGUGCAGUUUGGCUUCAGCAGAGGUAAAGGCCUGCCUGCAGCUGGGCUGAGAACUCCACUGAGAAACCCACAAGGAGCAGGGUGAGGCAGUGAACACCGAUAAGGAGCCUUGGGAUGGCUCUGUUACAUGCAAUUUGACUAUGAGUCAACCACUUUUAUCCUAUAAAUAUGACAGCCUUCGUGAGCCUUCCUUGAACUCUCCCUGCUUGGCAGCGUGGCUGCAUGGCGAUGAGCUCCCCUUGCCCUGGGAGGAUACCUUUCAAGGGUGCUCCUCGAAGCAAUCUGAUCGUUUACCAGCAACAGGUCGCUGGUGAGCCCCAUUUGAAUCCUCCGUGGAUGGCAGCUGGACUGCACACCUGCCAGUUCUCCUCUUUAACAGAGAUUAGUUGUUUAGCCUAAAUAAGUAAUAUUUUAAAAAGAAUAAAUAAUUUCAAGUUAUAAUAUUGUGUGGUUUAGUAUGCUGUUUGCUUAGCUUUCUUAGCAUGAAUAGCCAGAAUUGCUCUGAAGGACUAGGCCACAAGCUGGGAGUUUCCAGUUAAAAUCUUUUUUUUUUCAGGCAAAACAAGGCCUCCAGAGUCAACAAAACACAGGAAAAUACAAAGGCUUCAAGGAUACAGAUCAUCAAUACCAGCUGCACUGAGACAAGGUAGCCUGUCUUGAAAGACAGCAAAGAAAUCCAAGGAGGAACAAAAAGACCCCAGACCCAAAAAUUAUUACUAGAUCAAGCUACGGUGUGAGGGGCGGGUAAAUAGUCUGCAAGUGUGUAAUUGCACAGGGAUUUCUUUGUUUGAGUUGGACUCUCUCCAGAGUUGACCAUGCUGCUGUGUCCCUCUGUUAUUUAUUUUAUAAAAUUGGACACCUGAAAGUCUGCUUUGUGAAACCAUGGAUUCUAACUUCGGUUACUUUGGAACUAAUGCUGGACAUCCAGCUGGAAAGACCUGCUGCCCAGGAGUCUGUUAACAAAACGUCAGAUUUGGACUCCAGAGUGAACUCACGCCAGAUGCCCAGGAAUUGGGAAAAAGCGCGAGGGAGCUUUGAAACCUUAGCUGAGUGACAGAGGGGAUAGGGUGUGCAUAUGUAAUUAUUUAGGUAUAAACACAUAUAACCCCAUUUUCCCUCUGUGUGUUUCCUCUAUGUAAUAUGUAAUAGCGUGACAUUAUCAUUGAACUCUAUUACAA
Cuculus canorus (common cuckoo) is the source of this 3057-nucleotide long non-coding RNA. RefSeq lists it as uncharacterized. The transcript has 3 exons. Lineage: Eukaryota; Metazoa; Chordata; Aves; Cuculiformes; Cuculidae. The record is from RefSeq and is a predicted model, not a curated record.